Molecule: transfer RNA, 90 nt
Filed under: Patescibacteria group bacterium
Lineage: Bacteria
Also listed under: 1 other name
Description: tRNA-Ser
Rfam family: tRNA
About the family: Transfer RNA (tRNA) molecules are approximately 80 nucleotides in length. Their secondary structure includes four short double-helical elements and three loops (D, anti-codon, and T loops).
Source: RNAcentral
GGAAGCGUGGCAGAGCGGUUGAAUGUACCGGUCUUGAAAACCGGAGUACCCGAAAGGGUACCAGAGGUUCGAAUCCUCUCGCUUCCGCCA